AUGAAGGGUGUUACAGUGUUGAUUGUUGGUGUUGGGCCAGCAGGCCUCGCAACGGCAGCAUGCCUUAGCCAAUUCUCAAUUCCUUAUGCCAUCGUCGAGUGCGAGAGCUGUAGCGCAUCACUCUGGCGCAACCGCGCGUAUGAUCGCCUCAAGCUGUAUCUCGCAAAGGAGUUCUGUGAGUUGCCACACAUGUCAUACCCUAUAGAUGCACCAACAUACAUACCAAAAACCUUGUUUGUGAAGUACUUGGAUGACUAUGUUGAGCGUUUCAACAUUCAACCAAAGUAUCUCACCAGCGUGGAGUCAUCCACAUAUGACAAUGAUGAAAAAAGUUGGUCCAUUGUGGCAAAGGACAUGUCAAAGUGCACCACAGUCAAGUUCAUGGCGAAGUUUCUUGUUGUGGCAAGUGGUGAGAAUAGUGCAGAGAAUAUUCCAAUGUUCCCUGGACUGGAAAACUUUCCAGGUGAUGUUAUCCACUCCUCAAGCUACAAGUCAGGCAAGAGCUAUUCUGGCAAGAAUGUAUUGGUCAUUGGAUCUGGCAACUCCGGGAUGGAAAUUGCUUAUGACCUUGCGACCCAUGGUGCCAACACAUGGAUUGUUAUACGAAGCCCGGUACGUACGUGCACUAUAUAUUUUCACUGGGUGCAUGAACGCAAAUUC
RNAcentral lists this ribosomal RNA (660 nucleotides) under Triticum aestivum (bread wheat). RNAcentral describes it as "partial small subunit ribosomal RNA". The record is from RNAcentral. Lineage: Eukaryota; Viridiplantae; Streptophyta; Magnoliopsida; Poales; Poaceae.